Molecule: ribosomal RNA, 469 nt
Filed under: uncultured bacterium
Lineage: Bacteria
Description: bacterial SSU rRNA
Rfam family: Bacterial small subunit ribosomal RNA
Source: RNAcentral
AACGAACGCUGGCGGCAGGCCUAACACAUGCAAGUCGAGCGAGCUGACGGGCUUCGGGUCCGGAGGUUAGCGGCGGACGGGUGAGUAACGCGUGGGAACGUGGCCCUGGGGUAAGGAACAACCGCUGGAAACGCGGCUAAUACCUUAUGAUGUCUCUGGUUUCGCCGGGGACCAAAGAUUUAUCGCAAGAUACUUCGCCUUGGGAUCGGCCCGCGUCGGAUUAGGUAGUUGGUGGGGUAACGGCCUACCAAGCCUUCGAUCCGUAGCUGGUUUGAGAGGAUGACCAGCCACACUGGGACUGAGACACGGCCCAGACUCCUACGGGAGGCAGCAGUGGGGAAUCUUAGACAAUGGGCGCAAGCCUGAUCUAGCCAUGCCGCGUGAGCGAUGAAGGCCUUAGGGUUGUAAAGCUCUUUCACCGGUGAAGAUAAUGACGGUAGCCGGAGAAGAAGCCCCGGCUAACUCCGUG